AUGGCUCUUCAUUUCGUGAGAAACAUAAAAUUGUAUGGCUCUUCAUUUCAUUGCCUGAAGCCGAGAAGCUGGAUGAGUGAUGAGGUUAUUGAUGCAUAUUUGAGCUGCGUGGUCAAGAAAGCAGAUGGAAAGUGUGGAGGACUACUGCAUAUACUGCAACUUUGUCAACUGUGAAAAGGAAAGUGAGGAUUGCAUGAUGGUAAGAAACAGAGAAUUGUAUGAGAAAUAAAUGCCAAACUGCCUAAGGAUCA
RNAcentral lists this long non-coding RNA (251 nucleotides) under Gopherus agassizii (Agassiz's desert tortoise). Its description in RNAcentral is "lncRNA (ENSGAGG00000017714.1)". The record is from RNAcentral. Lineage: Eukaryota; Metazoa; Chordata; Testudines; Testudinidae.